This 254-nucleotide ribosomal RNA is filed under the name uncultured bacterium. RNAcentral describes it as "partial 16S ribosomal RNA". It matches the Rfam family "Bacterial small subunit ribosomal RNA", at positions 524 to 776 of the family's 1533-position model. The record is from RNAcentral.
UACGUGGGACCCAAGCGUUAUCCGGAAUUACUGGGCGUAAAGAGUUGCGUAGGUGGCAGAGUAAGCAAGUAGUGAAAUGACGAGGCUCAACCUCGUGUCCAUUACUUGAACUGCUCAGCUUGAGGAUGAGAGAGGUUAUUGGAAUUUCUAGUGUAGGAGUGAAAUCCGUAGAUAUUAGAAGGAACACCGAUGGCGUAGGCAGAUAACUGGCUCAUUCCUGACACUAAGGCACGAAAGCGUGGGGAGCGAACGGG